RNAcentral lists this ribosomal RNA (497 nucleotides) under uncultured bacterium. RNAcentral's name for it is "partial 16S ribosomal RNA". It matches the Rfam family "Bacterial small subunit ribosomal RNA", at positions 28 to 507 of the family's 1533-position model. The record is from RNAcentral.
GAUGAACGCUGGCGGCGUGCCUAAUACAUGCAAGUCGAGCGAACGGACGAGAAGCUUGCUUCUCUGAUGUUAGCGGCGGACGGGUGAGUAACACGUGGAUAACCUACCUAUAAGACUGGGAUAACCUCGGGAAACCGGAGCUAAUACCGGAUAAUAUUUUGAACCGCAUGGUUCAAAAGUGAAAGACGGUCUUGCUGUCACUUAUAGAUGGAUCCGCGCUGCAUUAGCUAGUUGGUAAGGUAACGGCUUACCAAGGCAACGAUGCAUAGCCGACCUGAGAGGGUGAUCGGCCACACUGGAACUGAGACACGGUCCAGACUCCUACGGGAGGCAGCAGUAGUGAAUCUUCCGCAAUGGGCGAAAGCCUGACGGAGCAACGCCGCGUGAGUGAUGAAGGUCUUCGGAUCGUAAAACUCUGUUAUUAGGGAAGAACAUAUGUGUAAGUAACUGUGCACAUCUUGACGGUACCUAAUCAGAAAGCCACGGCUAACUACGUG